Molecule: long non-coding RNA, 212 nt
Filed under: Setaria viridis
Lineage: Eukaryota; Viridiplantae; Streptophyta; Magnoliopsida; Poales; Poaceae
Description: long non-coding RNA (SVIR_LNC002667)
Source: RNAcentral
UUUUUUUUUUUUGAAAUAGUAAUGGGAUCAGGCAUGAAGUUCUCCGUGUUUUUCAGAGCUGCUUGUCUGCACUUCGAUGGACCUCAAGCUGCAUCCCGUUGACGUUGCUUGGCACUUCGCCGCUGAAAUCGGCCGGCCCCGAGGGCAUGGAUCUCAUGCAGUUGAAGCGCUCGACGCGCUAGCGCUGGACAUGCCAUCAGCAGCUCUUCAUC